This 243-nucleotide ribosomal RNA is filed under the name uncultured cyanobacterium. RNAcentral's name for it is "partial 16S ribosomal RNA". It matches the Rfam family "Bacterial small subunit ribosomal RNA", at positions 524 to 766 of the family's 1533-position model. The record is from RNAcentral. Lineage: Bacteria; Bacillati; Cyanobacteriota.
UACGGGAGUGGCAAGCGUUAUCCGGAAUUAUUGGGCGUAAAGCGUCCGCAGGCGGCCUUGUAAGUCUGUCGUUAAAGCGUGGAGCUCAACUCCAUUUAAGCGAUGGAAACUGUGAGGCUAGAGUGUGGUAGGGGCAGAGGGAAUUCCCGGUGUAGCGGUGAAAUGCGUAGAUAUCGGGAAGAACACCAGUGGCGAAGGCGCUCUGCUGGGCCAUAACUGACGCUCAUGGACGAAAGCCAGGGG